CUGAAAUUGUACUGAAUGACACUGAACUUACGCUUUAAAAUGGUUAAAAUGGUACGUUUUGUGUCCUUUCGGCCUUCCCACUAUACAACAGAGAAACACUGUAGUAAUUAGCAGUCCCUCCCCCACUGACCCCCGCGGGUCUCCCACAGUCCCAGCCAACCACUAAUCUACUUCCCGUCUUAACAGCAGUUUCAUUUUUAACCACAGGGCAGAGCCUGGCACUUGGUAAGUUCUACAUAAGCUGGGGCUGCAGUUCUUGCCAUGAUUUUCAUUUGUAUUCUAACCAAAGGCACUCCUUCGGGAAGCUUUCAGCACCCACAGCGGCUGGAGAUGGGAGGAACCCUUCCCAACAUGGGAACUGGCUUUUCAAAUCCAGUCGGAUCUGGGGUGUUCUGGUUUCCUGCCUUUGCCUGGAAAUUCCAGUGCAGCCCCUACCAGAGGCUCCCCCUUCUAAUGAAAAGCCACACAUUGCAGCCUCAUGCACCAGAGCUGGCCCACAGUCGGAAGAGGAUCGUUGCACGUUUCUCCCACAAACACAAUGGAAAUAAGAGCCUGCGAUUCUGCUCGAUUUCUUAUUUUUAACAAAGAGGCUGAGAGCCCUGUGUCGUUUAAAGCAACCGAAGCCCUCAGUCCUGAGCAGUCAGAUCCGCACAAAAGGUGCGAGGAGCUGCGAUCUUACCGUCGCCAGAGCGCCCACUGGUGGGAGAUGAGAGAACAACAGGGCUGGCUCUCCCAGGACUGCGCAUCCCUCCCUUCCUCUCUGGGCGACUCGCCGCCGCCACCCACCUGGCCCGGCUUGGGGUGGAAGGAAGCCGCCGGGGACAGAGAUGCCUGGGAAUUCUGCAGACCGUGGGGGAAUAUUCACUCCCUCUCCCAGCACACAUUAUGGACACGGACUGUAUGGCGGGCACUGUGCUUUGCCCUCUACGUUGUUUGCAUCCUCCAGAAACAGAGAGGUUAAGUCUCUUCUUGCCCAGGAUCACACAGCCAGAAACUGGAGUUAUUUAAACCCAGGUGUCUCUUGGGACGCCUUGGGUGGCUCAGCAGUUAAGCGUCUGCCUUCAGCUCAGAGUGUGAUCCUGGAAUCCCGGGAUCGAAUCCCACAUCUGGCUCCCUGCUUCGCCCUCUGCCUAUGUCUCUGCCUCUCUGUCUCUCAUGAAUAAAUAAAAUCUUUAAAAAUAAAAAAAUAAAAAUAAAUAAACCCAGGUGUCUCUAGGCAGAGAAAUUUAGCAUAAGCCAAGUGUGGGGGGACCCAGAAGUCUUCUAAUCUUCUUUCAAGAGGGGACUAUCCAGUACUGAUUGGGUUUAUCAGCAAGAGACUCUCAACAUCCAGCUAUAUAACAGUCAGGGUAAAUCACGGUGAAUAGUUACCGAGCUCUUUCCCCGUGUUCGUGGCCAAGCACUUUAGAUGUAUAUCUCACUAAAUCCUCUGGACAAGUUUAGGGAGAAAAAUAUUAUAAAUGUGUCAGUUUCACAGAGGAGGAGACAGAGGGUCAGAGAGGCCCUUUACAUUGCCGAAGGUCUCACCACCAGAAAGUGCUGGAACCAGGAUUGUGAACUCCUGUCUUCCUGGCUGUAAAGUCUCUGCUUUUCUGCAAAAUACUAUUUAGGAAGAGAGGCAGGAUAUGAGGUUGGCCCUGACUCAGUGCAGAAAGUGUUUUCUGGGCCGAGGCAAGAGCUGUGCC
RNAcentral lists this long non-coding RNA (1685 nucleotides) under Canis lupus familiaris (dog). RNAcentral's name for it is "lncRNA (ENSCAFG00000052083.1)". Lineage: Eukaryota; Metazoa; Chordata; Mammalia; Carnivora; Canidae. The record is from RNAcentral.